This is a long non-coding RNA of Dryobates pubescens (Downy woodpecker), 295 nucleotides long. RefSeq lists it as uncharacterized. The record is from RefSeq and is a predicted model, not a curated record. Lineage: Eukaryota; Metazoa; Chordata; Aves; Piciformes; Picidae. The transcript is spliced from 3 exons.
AUGGAUUACAAAUAUCCCUCCUGAUGCACGUUUGGAAUUAAGAGAGUAUGUGUUCCCUGAGCACAAACCAUAUGUGAAACUUAUACAUAGUCCUGGAUCUAGUAAUGCAACAGUGAGGACUAACAUGUCACUGGAUGUUGAUGCUCUUCAGAGUGAACAGCUCUUUUAUGCUGUGGUUUGUCAAAGGAUUGGAAUGAUUCAUGAGAUAGAGAAUGUACGGAUUUUGGCCUUAGAAGACAUAAAUGACAAUUCUCCAGAAUUUCUACAAACUAGCUAUAGCACUUCACUUUCAGAG